GACACUCUCUUAAAUAUCUUGUAAAUAAACAAUUCCAUAGUAUUCUAAUGGAAGAAGGUCAGAUGGCAGGAAUGUGUGUUAUGAACCGAAAAGACAUUCAAUACUGCGCCAAACUGUCAAAACUCCCAAUUUGCUAUAUAAUGAUCCUGUCAAAUGGCAUCGCAAUCAUCAUCUUCUUUAGCUCACCAUGGUAACACCCCUCUUACAUUCUGACAUCCCUGGAUAGGCUGAUGUGAUGAGUAGCACAAAAUGCAUUUGAAAAAGCAGACGGGAGGGAGGACUGACACAAUCCCAGGGCCAUAUCACGACGUUGUUAUGGGACACCGAAAUGAGAUCGAAGACGAGAUUGUCUCCGUGAGGUCAAUGUUCCCCUUUUCGGUAACGCAAGCCCUGAACACGGCUCGCACAGAUAAUCUAAAAGUGUUAAUGUGAAAACAUAAUUUCUUUUCUCAGAGAACUCAUAGAGAGCAGAAACUCUGGAAGAAGUCUAAGAGCAGCUCGACUGGAAAGAAAGGAAGGGCUUUUGGUCAAGGCUGUGUCACUGGGGUAAAGAAAGUCUUUCAUGACAUCAAUUCUCUCUGUCUGUAGCAUUAUAUAGGGGCGAUGAGCGGAAGGAGGCCGCUGGCGUCCCCAACGCCUGGGUAGUGUGAAGUGUUCUAGUCUAAGGUAGGGCACUAGGUAGAGAAUAGGGCAUCACUUGGGAUACAGGCUGUGUCUGUUUCUAGGUGAUAACUAAGAUGUUCUGACAUUCUGUUCCUAAAAUAUGCAGAGGGUUUUGGGGAGGCGGUUAGUAUCUAGAGACAUGAUUAUCUUUCCUCUGUGCCAUUUCUCUCUCCUCUGUCUCCCUCUCUCCCUCCUAUCUUUCUUUAUAUCUCUCUGACUCGCUCUUUCACUUUGAGGGCACUCGCUCUUCCACCUGUUUCUCAUCUGCUCUCAAUCACUACCUCUCAUGCGUCCUCACCCACUUUCUACCUCACCCACUUUCUGUCUCACCCACCUUUAUUCUCACUGAACUAUAUUUUCAUUUUUAAAGUUUUACUUUUUUGUGAAUCCUCUUUAGAGUUGCACAGCUGAGACUAAUAUGGAAACCAAGUCAGAAUGAUGAAUACGGAAAGCCUCCAACCCUCUCUUAUUACCUACAUCAAUCUUACAGAAAGUCAUCUGUUAUAAAAAUAUUUUCACUCCAGUUAAAACAACUCAAAAUAGGACACCGAUCAAAUUGCAAUAUCAGGUAAAUUUGGAUCAAACUUUGGUUGAAUAUCUAGGUUUUAGCUUAUAAAACAACACAGCUUAGAUGUUGAUUACACAAAAAUCUGUUUUCUGGAUAACUUCCGCACACACACACACACACAGACAGCCACACUGAGAGAAUGCACAAACUAAUGAGCAUGCAACUCAUCUGCCGGGAGAGAGAAAACAGCAUUGAGAUGAGCCAAAAGGGCUGUUUGUCAGCACAAUCAAACAGAAAAGGAAUAGCGCUUUGUCUGUAGGUGAGUGUUUCUGUGCAUGUUUCUCUUUGAGUGUAUCAUUUCUGUGUGUGUUAUAUUUCCGUGUGCAUUUCUGUGUCUCUCGCGGGCAGAAGAGGACAGAAAGGCUUUACUGAAACCCGACGGGGUUUGAAAUCGUCACUCGGCUCAGUUGUCAGGGGAUCAUUAGACUCUGAAAACCGCUCGGAGGCUCGAUGCUGCUAAAAAAAAAAAAGCCAAUGUGGUGUAAUGAGGAUUUGGAGUGCGCCGCUCCUUUUAUACCACCUACUCCUCCACUCCUGUCGUCUCCUCCCCUCUUCUCAUCCUCCACAAACACAAAUAAAGAGGAUCCACCUGUUGGAGGUGUGCUGUAUCCAGGUAGGCGUUACCAAGGCACUGUAUUCAGCAGUAAGUGAGGUAUGUAAAAACAGGGCGGCUGGAAGGGCAGCUUUCAGCCCUGGGAAACACAACAUUCCAUUUCAAAACAGACUGAGAGCUCUCCAGGAACCAGUGGCUAGACAGUUACAUAAUGGCCUGUAAUGCUGUACUAUCUCUAGGUGAUAUCUAUGACUAUCUAUGACAGACUGUCUGUGAGCAUCCUCAAAUAUAAUUACCUAAAAAUAGAAGCAAUCAGCGAAGGCCGGAACUUUCUCCAGACAGAUGGCAUUCUGUCACUUUGUAUUGGAUAAUCAAAUCUGCUUGUAUUUAAAACCCUAUAGGCAGAGACAUCCAGUGUAUGGGGAAAUAUGUGCUGCAAAUUACCAUGGGGAAGGUAUUUGUGUGUGUGUGUGUGUGUGUGUGUGUGUGAGUGUGCGUAUGUGUGUGCAGAUAUAAAAAUGUAUUAGGGACUCAAAGGGUUCAUAGCCAUUCGGUCUGAGCUGCAACUGAAUGGAAGGUGAUAAUACCACCUCAACUCGCCGAACCACUUUGGGUAAUUUGAAAUGAAAUUAUAGGAAAUGGAUAAAACAAAAACAGCAGUAACGAACGGUUAUAUGAACGCCAAUAGAUUCAAGAUAAUAUGACUACAACACCACAGCCCAUGAAAUCACUAGGGAAAUUCAAUCUUUGCCUUUUCCAUCAACUCGCGAUUGGAACGGGCACCGGGCAAUACCAUAUACACACUGGAGGGAUAAGCCAGAGCUUUAAAAGUAAUAAAGUUAUAAAACCAAUUACCGAGUGAGGCUGAGAACAAACAGGCAGAACAAUACAGUGAUUGGUCUCAAAGACUUUGACUAUUGUUUUUUUCUUGCUAACACUGAAUUAUGUAAGUGCUUUAAAAUCUUCAGUGGAAAACAAAUGUUUGUAAUGCGGCAGAUUUAAACAGUGAAAAGCUGUUUGGCUGCGCCUGAUUGGUGUCUGGUAAAUGAUGAUGGCAUUGUGGGACAGGGAAUUGGAAUGAGACAUACAUACCUGUUGUAUAGGCUUACAGGACGUGUGGACAUGUGGAUGGGAUAGAAGCAAAUUACAUGUAAUGGGGUACAAUUUGCCUCAGUGUUACGAAAGCACAAUCUACGCCAUUCUUCCAAAACUCCACGUUAGCUCCUGCUACAGGAUCUAACAGAGGACAAACAGUUCAGAGAGUCUUUUAAAGCGGCUCUAUUUUAAAGUGGAUGUUGAACGACAGGGCGGCAUAAAGGACAAGGCAUGAAAAUUCCCCAUUUUAAACACAGCCCUACAUCCUAUGACAUGUCUAACUACCUAACUCCAGUCAGACUUUAGCCCCGCCACUCCAGCUAGAUUCUAGCCCCUCCCAUCCAGCCACUCUAGCCCCUCUCUUCCAGACAGAUUUUAGUCCCUCCCCAAGAGACAGAUUCUAGCCCCUCCCUCACAGCUAGACUCUCACCCCUCCCCUUGUAGCCACAACUAGCGCCCUUUCUUACAUCUGAAAAUAAUGAAAGCUAAGUGAUGGCAGUCGUCUAUCUCCACCCACCAAUGCCCCAGCUGCUCAGCUACGCCAAACUUUCCCCGAUAAUUCAUAGAUUACGAUGCGGGAGACGGGAAUUGUAAGCAUAAACACUGUUUUCAUAUCAUCUGCUUAAUCAUUUCUAUUUGAAGCUUCACAGGAGUAAUUGCAAAAACCACCGAUAUUCAACUCUUCUGCUAUCAAAGCUAUGAUGAGACCUUCCACAGAAUAUCUUCCAUGAGCCAAGGAAAUUUUUAGCAAUGCAGCAAAGUUACUACCUGCUGGGAUCUGAUGAAGCAUUUCUUAACGUGAAAAACACUGUCAAGCAGUCAAUGAUUUUGGUCCUCAUUUUUGUCCAGACCGUCAGAACAGACAAAAGAGAGACAGAGAGAGGGAGAGAAAUUACCAGGUAAAGAAUGUAUUGUUGCAGAGAGACAACAAAUGUAAUUAUUUUGUUGGUAAACAAAGACUUGCUUCUCUUUUCUCCUCCAUCCUCCAUGUUCUCCGCCCUGUCCUCCAGGUUCCUCCACUACUGAUAUGUUCUCCGCCCUGUCCUCCAUGGAAAAGUGUGAGGUGUUCCCUAGGUCCUUCAGUAUCCAUGGACAUAAGUGGCUUAGUCCUAGCUUUGCUUCAUGUCUAACGUUCACUGACAGAUGUAGAUUGGACCUGAACAUAGUGCAGGAAGGUGCUGACACCUAGUACAAUGCACCAGUGUGUUUCUCCACAGGUCACUGUGCAGUGGGUUUGGGGCUUUGAAUGGUGGCUUGGAGUUCGCCAACCCCAAUCUCAGCACGGUCUGUGUUCUGGUGUUGAAAUCAAAGGCUGCUUCCCAGAUCCAACAGUUUUCCGAUCAUUCAUCACAGAUCUUGUAACAAUGCGAGAGCAGAUGUUUCAUGAGGCAGCUUCCCAGGGUUAUACCCAGAGCUGUUAUCCACUGCCACAUCUUUAAAAUCUGGCACUUCUUGUUUGCAAACAACUUUUAGAUUUUUUCUUUAGGUCAAAAACAUCAGUUUGGGUCUAGUUUAAAAGUGCCCUCAUCAGAAUGAUCUGAAAUGUCACGGCACUAGAAACUGAAGAGGGACAGUGUAUCAUUAAGAGGGGAAGCAAAUUAAAUCUGAAUGAGUCUUCAGGAAUUUGCAAAAAAGGAAGUGCAAUGAAUAUGCUUUGGACCAGAUUACUGAUGUAGCCAUCACAUGCUCAGUUGCACACGCAACCACAAACAUCCAAACAUACAAACACACAAACACACACACAGAUCCUUGAC
Esox lucius (northern pike) is the source of this 4633-nucleotide long non-coding RNA. Lineage: Eukaryota; Metazoa; Chordata; Actinopteri; Esociformes; Esocidae. The record is from Ensembl.